RNAcentral lists this transfer RNA (63 nucleotides) under Bathymodiolus brooksi. RNAcentral's name for it is "tRNA-Ser". Lineage: Eukaryota; Metazoa; Mollusca; Bivalvia; Mytilida; Modiolidae. The record is from RNAcentral.
GACCGAUAUUUGUCUUUGUUUUGAAAGCAAAGCUAGAGUGUUUAAAAGUGCACUCAUUGGUUU